RNAcentral lists this ribosomal RNA (301 nucleotides) under uncultured bacterium. Its description in RNAcentral is "partial 16S ribosomal RNA". It matches the Rfam family "Bacterial small subunit ribosomal RNA", at positions 509 to 809 of the family's 1533-position model. The record is from RNAcentral.
CAGUAGCCACGGUAAUACGUAGGUGGCAAGCGUUGUCCGGAAUUAUUGGGCGUAAAGGGCUCGCAGGCGGUUUCUUAAGUCUGAUGUGAAAGCCCCUGGCUCAACCGGGGAGGGUCAUUGGAAACUGGGAAACUUGAGUGCAGAAGAGGAGAGUGGAAUUCCACGUGUAGCGGUGAAAUGCGUAGAGAUGUGGAGGAACACCAGUGGCGAAGGCGACUCUCUGGUCUGUAACUGACGCUGAGGAGCGAAAGCGUGGGGAGCGAACAGGAUUAGAUACCCGCGUAGUCCCUGUCUCUUAUAA